GAUCCUUAACCCGAUGUGACACCAGGGAACUCCACUAUUGGAUUCAAGAUUUCCUAGAUAGAGCAAUUCUGGGUGAUAACAAGGUCCAGGGGUGGCCAAGGGAAGGUGGCUUAAGUGGCUUUGAGUGGAGACUCUUUUGAGAUCAAAGAACCGGGCUGCACCCUGGGCAUAUGGAGGUUCCCAGUCUAGGGGUCGAAUUGGAGCUGUAGCUGCUGAUCUACGCCACAGCCACAGCAACUUGGGACCUGAGCUGCAUCUGUGAUCUACACCGCAGCUCAGGUCAAUACCUGAUCCUUAACCCCCUGAGAGAGGCCAGGAAUCGAACCUGUGUCCUCAUGGAUACUAGUCAGGUUCGUUACCGCUGAGCCACAACAGGAACUCCCAAAGAACCAAGAUAUUGAAGCUCCCCAGGAUAAGGGCAGGUCCAGGAGUGGAAAGGAAGAUUGAGCGAGGUGCCAAAGGCUCCUUGAAUGAAGAGGAAUGACUGGAGAUUGGCAUUUGAUCUUGACAGAGGAGUAGAAAGGCUAGUUUCACGUCAGCCUGAAUGGGUGUGGAACUGUCACUUGGAGCGGAUGUUGGGGUACAUAUCCCACCUCCUGGGUUCAGUCUGUGAGGAGAGGAAGAAUGGGUGGCGUCUCCUUGGGGAGGCUACAGGGGAGAGGUGGUGUCCUUGCUGGAAGAGCUGGGAUUGUUAAACCGGAAGAGGCGGAGGGGCAGACCCACUAUGACAUGGUUCUGAGUGAGAGAGGCUUCAUCAUGGGAUGAAGUCCUAGAGGGCUCAGGGAAAGGUUAUGGAGAGAAGGGCUCAGGAGUUUGGUCAAGGGCAAGGAAGCUCAGAGCUCUCUGGGGGUGCGAAUGUAGCAGAGAGAUGACAGAGGGGCUCCCAUUUAGGCCACUGGCCAAAGAUAAGAAACACCCUAGUGCUUGGAGGGGCUGGCUGGCUACAAAUGCUGGUAAGAAUGGAAGUUCCCUAGUAGAUGAGAGAGGGGCUUAGAUCUGGAAGGAGACAUCCUCCCUUGACCGGCGGGGGGAAGGAAGACUGUCCCACAGAGAGAGGGGCAUGCUUGGAGGUAGAGAGAAGAGAGAGUUGCACACCACUAGGGACCAAUGAUGGAGCAGUUCAGUGGGGCUGGGAUGCAAUGUCUGCGGAAGAGUGACUGGGCGUCAGGUGGGGUCAGCCUUGAGGGGCCUUGAUGCACCUGCUCAAGCACUCUGUUUAUAAGCGGGGGUGUGCCAGUGAGCAGACAGGAGAGUGGGCUGAAGGCAGGUGAGGGAGGGAGGCAAUGAUGGCGAGAGAGAGAUUAUGAGACUUCAUGUUCUGACCCUUGCUGGAUCACCCCUUAAUCCCCCAGUGGAAACGUAAAUAUUAACAUAGACACCAUAGACCUUCCAUAUGACAAGGGUGCAGCCCGAUUCUUUGAUCUCAGAAGAGCCUCCACCCAAAGCCACUUAAGCCCACCUUCCCUUUUUGCAUAUCUUGCUUUUUAAGGACCUGAUGUGAACAAGUAGAUGUAUUUGCUAUUUUUUAUCCUUCCUUUCUAUAAAUGGUGAUUAUUAACUAUAAUCUCUUGUAAUUGAAUCUGAGGCCCCAAACUCCCUUAGAAAACAAAUGCAUGCACGUCAUUGAUGUUGCAAUGUCUUCACCCCCUGACAGUCCUCAAAUGAGACAGCGUUAGUCAUGAUUAAUACAUUUAGUCAUGCCUUCAUGUCUUCAACUGAAAAUCCCAGAGAUAAGUGAUUCAGGAACACAAGGGCAGACUAGAGAGAUAAAAGAUAACUGAAUCAAAACCAAAGCGGACCCAGAGUAGGAUUUGGGGCUCUGAAGUGCUCCAGGGGUUGUUGAAUUCAUGUGGUUAUUAUUAUUAUUAUUAUUCUCAGAGUUGUCCGCCGUUGGGAUGUUUAUUUAUUUAUUUAUUUAGUUAGAUAGUUAGUUAGUUAUUGUGGUGUCUGGUCAUAGCCCUCAGCUGUGGGAUAGGAAGUUCCAGGAACUAAGAGAGAGAGUUUGCUGACAUUUGAUGGAUAGCCUAUUAAUUUUUUUUUUUCUUUAUCUUUAGGGCUGUACCCACAGCAUAUGGAGGUUCCCAGACAAGGGGUCAAAUCUGAGCUACAGCGGCCAGCAUACACCACAGCCACAGCAACUCAGGAUCUGAGCCAUGUCUGCAAACUACAUCACAGCUCACAGCAUCACUGGGUCUCUGACCCACUGCUCAGUGGGGCCAGGGAUUGAACCUGCAUCCUCAUGGAUACCAGUCUGAUUCGUUUCUGCUGCGUCAUAACAGGAACUCCUAGACAAUCAUUUUUUUGAAACCAAUUUAUUCCAAUAUGAAGUUCACAUGAAUUAAAUUGUCCUACUCUUUAAUAUAAUUCUUCCUCUUUUAUGUCCUCUCUUGUCCCUUCUUCACUUUUUUCUCCAAACUUAACUUCACCCCCACCCCUAGAAGAAUCCUUUUCAACUCUCCAUCCCCUGAAAAUGGUGCCCACUUUCAGUGUCCAUCUUUCUCUCCCUUAUCUCUCCCCUCCUCCAAGCUUGUCAACUACAGCUUGUUUAUCUUUCAGAGAUAGGGGUAAGGGGCUUUGGGGUUUUUUAAAUUAAAAAUGUUUAAUAUGUUUAAUUUGUUUAUUCUUAGGCAAAAAAAAAUUGAUGAUUUCCCUCUCUAACUUUUUUCCCCCUUUUCAGUUAAUGCUAAUUUCCCAGUUGUUUGCUUCUUGGCUGUGUGACUGGACAUAAUUUUCUUAACCUGUUCAAGCCUGUUUCCUUUUUUGUGAAGUAGGGAUAAGAAUAGCACUUUCCGGACAGAGUUAUUUUUAAGAGGUUCGUGAGACAAUUAAAGUGCUUAGUUCAGCUUACGGAAAAUCUGUAAAUAAUAGUAACCACUAAGAUUUUCAGUUUUUUAAUUUAUUACUUGCAUUUUCAAUUACAUACAAAUAUCUGCUGUCUACCAAUACAGAAUAUUUUUAUUGUUCUUUUUUUUUUUGGUCUUUUUUUUAGGGCUGCACCCAUAGCAUAUGGAGGUUCCCAGACUAGGGGUGGAAUCUGAGCUGUAGCCACAGGCCUACUCCACAACCACAGCAAUGCCACAUGCGAGCCAUGUCUGUGACCUACACCAUAGCUGAUGGCAACGCCAGAUCCUUAACCCACUGAGCAAGGACAGGGAUCGAACCUGGGUCCUCAAGGUUACUAGUCAGAUUUGUUUCCACUGAGCCAUGAUGGGAACUCCAUAGCGUUCAUUUUAAUUUCACUUUGUUUCAUUCCCAGAGUAUAUGUGACUAACUUUGGGCUAUGAAAAUUAUGUUGAAUAGGGAGAUCUCAUAGCUUUUUAUUUUUUUAGUUUGUAAUGGACUUUAUUUUUUGGAGUGUUUGGAGUUCACAGAAACAUUGAGGGAAAGUGCAGAGAGUUCCCAUUUGCCCCAGGCCCCCCACCACACACAAUCUCCCCCAGCUGGAGUGGUACCUUUGUUACAGUUGAUGAACCCAUGUUGGCCUUUUGUUUUUUUUAACUAUAAUACUUGCAAUUAUAAAUGGUUUCUUAAGGUGGUCAUGUCUUUGUUCUGUGAGCCAUUCUAAAGAAUCUCUUUGGAGUUCCCGUCGUGGCGCAGUGGUUAACGAAUCCGACUAGGACCCAUGAGGUUGCGGGUUUGAUCCCUGGCCUUGCUCAGUGGGUUAACGAUCCGGCGUUGCCGUGAGCUGUGGUGUAGAUUGCAGACACAGCUCGGAUCCUGCGUUGCUGUGGCUCUGGCGUAGGCCAGCAGCUAUAUCUCCGAUUCGACCCCUAGCCUGGGAACCUCCAUAUGCU
This 3794-nucleotide long non-coding RNA is filed under the name Sus scrofa (pig). RNAcentral's name for it is "lncRNA (ENSSSCG00000052200.1)". Lineage: Eukaryota; Metazoa; Chordata; Mammalia; Artiodactyla; Suidae. The record is from RNAcentral.